UACAAUGGCCGGUACAGAGGGUAGCCAACCCGCGAGGGGAGCCAAUCCCAACAAGCCGGUCCGUAGUCCGGAUCGCAGUCUGCAACUCGACUGCGUGAAGUCGGAAUCGCUAGUAAUCGCGGAUCAGCAUGUCGCGGUGAAUACGUUCCCGGGUCUU
RNAcentral lists this ribosomal RNA (157 nucleotides) under uncultured Caldimonas sp. RNAcentral describes it as "partial 16S ribosomal RNA". It matches the Rfam family "Bacterial small subunit ribosomal RNA", at positions 1226 to 1382 of the family's 1533-position model. The record is from RNAcentral. Lineage: Bacteria; Pseudomonadati; Pseudomonadota; Betaproteobacteria; Burkholderiales; Sphaerotilaceae.